GAUGAACGCUGGCGGCGUGCCUAAUACAUGCAAGUCGAGCGAACAGACGAAGAGCUUGCUCCUCUGACGUUAGCGGCGGACGGGUGAGUAACACGUGGAUAACCUACCUAUAAGACUGGGAUAACUUCGGGAAACCGGAGCUAAUACCGGAUAAUAUAUUGAACCGCAUGGUUCAAUAAUGAAAGACGGUUUUGCUGUCACUUAUAGAUGGAUCCGCGCCGCAUUAGCUAGUUGGUAAGGUAACGGCUUACCAAGGCAACGAUGCGUAGCCGACCUGAGAGGGUGAUCGGCCACACUGGAACUGAGACACGGUCCAGACUCCUACGGGAGGCAGCAGUAGGGAAUCUUCCGCAAAGGGCGAAAGCCUGACGGAGCAACGCCGCGUGAGUGAUGAAGGUCUUCUGAUCGUAAAACUCUGUUAUUAGGGAAGAACAAAUGUGUAAGUAACUAUGCACGUCUUGACGGUACCUAAUCAGAAAGCCACGGCUAACUACGUG
Molecule: ribosomal RNA, 497 nt
Filed under: uncultured bacterium
Lineage: Bacteria
Description: partial 16S ribosomal RNA
Rfam family: Bacterial small subunit ribosomal RNA
Source: RNAcentral